GUGGCGGACGGGUGAGUAAUGCUUGGGAAUCUGGCUUAUGGAGGGGGAUAACUGUGGGAAACUGCAGCUAAUACCGCGUAUUCUCUGAGGAGGAAAGGGUGGGACCUUAGGGCCACCUGCCAUAAGAUGAGCCCAAGUGGGAUUAGGUAGUUGGUGGGGUAAAGGCCUACCAAGCCUGCGAUCUCUAGCUGGUCUGAGAGGAUGACCAGCCACACUGGAACUGAGACACGGUCCAGACUCCUACGGGAGGCAGCAGUGGGGAAUAUUGCGCAAUGGGGGGAACCCUGACGCAGCCAUGCCGCGUGAAUGAAGAAGGCCUUCGGGUUGUAAAGUUCUUUCGGUAAUGAGGAAGGGAUGUUGUUAAAUAGAUAGCAUCAUCGACGUUAAUUACAGAAGAAGCACCGGCUAACUCCGUGCCAGCAGCCGCGGUAAUACGGAGGGUGCGAGCGUUAAUCGGAAUAACUGGGCGUAAAGGGCACGCAGGCGGACUUUUAAGUGAGAUGUGAAAUCCCCGAGCUUAACUUGGGAACUGCAUUUCAGACUGGGAGUCUAGAGUACUUUAGGGAGGGGUAGAAUUCCACGUGUAGCGGUGAAAUGCGUAGAGAUGUGGAGGAAUACCGAAGGCGAAGGCAGCCCCUUGGGAAUGUACUGACGCUCAUGUGCGAAAGCGUGGGGAGCAAACAGGAUUAGAUACCCUGGU
RNAcentral lists this ribosomal RNA (700 nucleotides) under uncultured Pasteurella sp. RNAcentral describes it as "bacterial SSU rRNA". It matches the Rfam family "Bacterial small subunit ribosomal RNA", at positions 95 to 791 of the family's 1533-position model. Lineage: Bacteria; Pseudomonadati; Pseudomonadota; Gammaproteobacteria; Pasteurellales; Pasteurellaceae. The record is from RNAcentral.